RNAcentral lists this unclassified non-coding RNA (22 nucleotides) under Mus musculus (house mouse). Its description in RNAcentral is "oocyte_clustered_small_RNA5365". Lineage: Eukaryota; Metazoa; Chordata; Mammalia; Rodentia; Muridae. The record is from RNAcentral.
UUUAUUACCAUAUUUAGCUGCC